Adelges cooleyi (spruce gall adelgid) is the source of this 115-nucleotide small nuclear RNA. Lineage: Eukaryota; Metazoa; Arthropoda; Insecta; Hemiptera; Adelgidae. The record is from RefSeq and is a predicted model, not a curated record.
GUGUUACAGCCAAAAGGAGAGACGGUUGGCACUCCCCUUGACAAGGAUGGAUGAACGGAUUGUACAGUUGUUGUUUCGGUGUUUCUCUUGUAAUUUGUUAUUUAUACAUUUUUAU